GAUGAACGCUGGCGGCGUGCCUAAUACAUGCAAGUCGAGCGAACAGAUGAGGAGCUUGCUCCUCUGACGUUUGCGGCGGACGGGUGAGUAACACGUGGAUAACCUACCUAUAAGACUGGGAUAACUUCGGGAAACCGGAGCUAAUACCGGAUAAUAUAUUGAACCGCAUGGUUCAAUAGUGAAAGACGGUUUUGCUGUCACUUAUAGAUGGAUCCGCGCCGCAUUAGCUAGUUGGUAAGGUAACGGCUUACCAAGGCAACGAUGCGUAGCCGACCUGAGAGGGUGAUCGGCCACACUGGAACUGAGACACGGUCCAGACUCCUACGGGAGGCAGCAGUAGGGAAUCUUCCGCAAUGGGCGAAAGCCUGACGGAGCAACGCCGCGUGAGUGAUGAAGGUCUUCGGAUCGUAAAACUCUGCUAUUAGGGAAGAACAAAUGUGUAAGUAACUAUGCACGUCUUGACGGUACCUAAUCAGAAAGCCACGGCUAACUACGUG
RNAcentral lists this ribosomal RNA (497 nucleotides) under uncultured bacterium. RNAcentral describes it as "partial 16S ribosomal RNA". It matches the Rfam family "Bacterial small subunit ribosomal RNA", at positions 28 to 507 of the family's 1533-position model. The record is from RNAcentral.